Molecule: long non-coding RNA, 1357 nt
Filed under: Ursus maritimus (polar bear)
Lineage: Eukaryota; Metazoa; Chordata; Mammalia; Carnivora; Ursidae
Description: lncRNA (ENSUMAG00000008666.1)
Source: RNAcentral
CUCACAUUAGCCUACUAAUUUGGCUCAAAAGUUUGUGGAAGUUCCCCUAGUUAUUUUCAGCAUCAAAGCAUUUGAAACAGCACAGCAUAUUGGGGCAAAUUCGGUACUUGAAGCACAAGCUUUGCUGAGCAAACCAAAGGUAAAUACAUACACAUAAAAAAGUAAAGGUCAAGACAGUUUCUUCUCAUUAGACAAAUCUGAGGAUUCGUGUUACUAGUGCAGAAACACUUUUACUUCCAGGCACGAUUAGAUGUAAUAUCUUUUAUGUUUUCCUUUAGGUCAAAGAGAAGAGAACACAAGACAAAAGGAACGGGGACAUUUUCGUUAUUUCCCACAGUCCAGGAGAAAGAAGUUGCCUGUCGCUGGGCUGGCGAGAAGCGUGAAAACCGUGGAUUUAUACUGCAAGAUGAGGUUUCCGAUUGUCAGCCAUCCUGAGACGUAGAGCGAGUGAUGCAGGUACCCGUACCACGCAAGGUGGAAGCACCGUUCACCCAGCAAGGGAAACACUGUAAAAUCGGACGCGGUACUGAGUCCAGUGCUCCGAAGAGUAUCUACAAGCACCACGAGCUGGUGGCUGAAUCGUCCACGUCCUCCACUCACCUCUACAUCAGGCCACACUUCAUACUUCAUUAUUUCCUUACUGAAAACCCCAACUUCACAAGACAUCGGGAAGAACGGAUAACAGGAACUGCAGGUUCAGGGGGAACCGAGGGAAGGAGUUUGUAUUUCAUACCCACCAGCAGACUCUCCACUUAACAAUCUAACCUUCCCCCCAAGUUCCUUCUCUGCCUGGGCUGGUCGGCCUCUCUGCUUCCCUCCCCAUGUCCCUCCAGAGGUCCCCUUAAGGAACUCAGCUGUGUAGACCACGCCUUGCAGAACCCAGUGUAAACACACUGGCCACCCUGCUCUCCACAACGGGAGCUUGUUUUUCCCUCCCCACAGAGCUGCAUGGAGCGCCUGCCAGGAACCAGCGUCCUUCCGUGUUGGAGAAGAGGUCACUCUGGCCACCACCCGGAUCUCACUCCAGAGCACACGGAGCCCCUACAGGACAGUCUUGCUCUCAUCGAUCGGCAGUCAGACGAGGUCUGCAGGUGCCAAGUCGGCAUGCACAGGGGGCAGCUGCCCCAGCUUACCCGGUGAGGAACUGGGGCUCUCCAGCCCACUGCAGCACCCUUCUCCCUGCUGGGGACUGCUCCCUGUCCCAAAACACUCCUUAACUUCUCCUCAACCCAGUGAAGCUCAGAAAGUCUACACUCAGCCAUUCUGCUGCCUUCUAGAGACUUUCUGCCUGUUACGCAAUUAUUACGGCCGAGCCAAACAAACAAAGUCUGGAUUUAUAAGUCAGGUCUGAUACAUG